UACAGGGGGUGCAAACGUUGCUCGGAAUCAUUGGGCGUAAAGCGCACGUAGGCGGUUCGUUAUGUCGGAUGUGAAAGCCCUUGGCUUAACCGAGGAAGUGCAUCCGAAACUGGCGAGCUAGAGUACUAAAGAGGAUCGCGGAAUUCCCGGUGUAGAGGUGAAAUUCGUAGAUAUCGGGAGGAACACCGAUGGCGAAGGCAGCCCCCUGGGUUAACACUGACGCUCAUGCACGAAAGCGUGGGGAGCAAACAGG
Molecule: ribosomal RNA, 253 nt
Filed under: uncultured bacterium
Lineage: Bacteria
Description: partial 16S ribosomal RNA
Rfam family: Bacterial small subunit ribosomal RNA
Source: RNAcentral